GGCGGAAUGGCCGAGCGGUCUAAGGCGCUAGAAUCAGGCGAUUGUCUCAUCUAGUCCGAAAGGGCGUGGGUUCGAAUCCCACUUCCGUCA
This 90-nucleotide transfer RNA is filed under the name Trametes cinnabarina. RNAcentral's name for it is "Pycnoporus cinnabarinus tRNA". It matches the Rfam family "tRNA". From Rfam's summary of the family: Transfer RNA (tRNA) molecules are approximately 80 nucleotides in length. The record is from Rfam by way of RNAcentral. Lineage: Eukaryota; Fungi; Basidiomycota; Agaricomycetes; Polyporales; Polyporaceae.